RNAcentral lists this ribosomal RNA (771 nucleotides) under uncultured Proteus sp. Its description in RNAcentral is "bacterial SSU rRNA". It matches the Rfam family "Bacterial small subunit ribosomal RNA", at positions 559 to 1354 of the family's 1533-position model. The record is from RNAcentral. Lineage: Bacteria; Pseudomonadati; Pseudomonadota; Gammaproteobacteria; Enterobacterales; Morganellaceae.
CGUAAAAGGCGCAUGCAGGUCGUCACUAGUCAGAUGUGAAGGCCCCGAGCUCAACUUGGGAAAGUGUCAUCUGAAACUGGGUUGGCUAGAGUCUUGUAGAGGGGRGUAGAAUUUCCACGUGUAGCGGUGAAAUGCGUAGAGAUGUGGAGGAAACCCGGUGGCGAAGGCGGCCCUGGCAAGACUGACGCUCAGGUGCGAAAGCGUGGGGAGCAAACAGGAUUAGAUACCCUGGUAGUCCACGCUGUAAACGAUGUCGAUUUAGAGGUUGUGGUCUUGACCUCUUCUGGARCUACGCUUAAUCGACCGCCUGGGGAGUACGGCCGCAAGGUUAAAAUCAAAGAAUUGACGGGGGCCGCACAARCGGUGGAGCAUGUGGUUUAAUUGAUGCAACGCGAAGAACCUUCCUACUUUGACAUCCAGAAUCCUUUAGAGAUAGAGGAGUGCCUUGGGAACGCUGAGACAGGUGCUGCAUGGCUGUGUCAGCUCGUGUUGUGAAAUGUUGGGUUAAGUCCCGCAACGAGCGCAACCCUUAUCUUUGUUGCCAGCGCGUGAUGGCGGGAACUCAAAGGAGACUGCCGGUGAUAAACCGGAGGAAGGUGGGGAUGACGUCAAGUCAUCAUGCCCUUACGAGUAGGGCUACACACGUGUCAAUGGCAGAUACAAAGAGAAGCGACCUCGCGAGAGCAAGCGGAAUCAUAAAGUCUUGUAGUCCGGAUUGGAGUUGCAACUCGACUCCAUGAAGUCGGAAUCGCUAGUAAUCGUAGAUCAGAA